GCGGGGAUUGCCAAGCCAGGUCAAAGAACAAGGCUGAUACUCCUGUCCCGUAGGGGUUCGUGGGUUCGAAUCCCACUCCCCGCACCA
RNAcentral lists this transfer RNA (87 nucleotides) under Candidatus Bathyarchaeota archaeon. RNAcentral's name for it is "tRNA-Ile". It matches the Rfam family "tRNA". Rfam says of the family: Transfer RNA (tRNA) molecules are approximately 80 nucleotides in length. Their secondary structure includes four short double-helical elements and three loops (D, anti-codon, and T loops). The record is from RNAcentral. Lineage: Archaea; Thermoproteati; Candidatus Bathyarchaeota.